UACGAGGGGGGCAAAUGUUGUUCGGAAUCACUGGGCGUAAAGGGAGCGUAGGCGGGUUUUUAAGUCAGGUGUUUAAUCCCGGGGCCCAACCCCGGACCGGCACUUGAAACUGGGAAUCUUGAAUAGGGGAGAGGUCAGUGGAAUUGGGGGUGUAGCGGUGGAAUGCGUAGAGAUCCCCAAGAACACCAGUUGCGAAGGCGGCUGACUGGACCCAUAUUGACGCUGAGGCUCGAAAGCAUGAGGAGCAAACAGG
This 253-nucleotide ribosomal RNA is filed under the name uncultured bacterium. RNAcentral describes it as "partial 16S ribosomal RNA". It matches the Rfam family "Bacterial small subunit ribosomal RNA", at positions 524 to 776 of the family's 1533-position model. The record is from RNAcentral.